GGAGUAUUAAAGCCAGAUUGUAAUUUAUUAAAAAAAACAACAAAAAAGGACAGGAGUUCUGUAAUUUUCCAGUCCCAUGAUAGGUCUUUCGUAUGUCUAGUACAUAAUGUUGGAUAAAUCACGAGGCAUCAAGUUACUUUAUGUCCCCUUUGAACAGGAAUAAUAAUACUUACCUAAGUCCCAUUCAUGGUGCCAUGUUCUCUUGUCCAUCCACUUCCCAAGAAAACAGGGGCAGGCUUUGCAUUGACUUUACUGUUUAUUAGAUCAGCCCUUUAACUCAUCAUUUUAACUUAUGUAAAGGAUUAUGGCCUCAGAGGAAAGAGACAGUGAAUGUCUAUGAAAUAGAUAUGACAAUAACCGGCAAAUACAUCUUUAUGGUUAUAAAAUACUCCCACUCCUUCUUUAUCCCAACAGCUUGGUCACUUCUUUUGUUUGCUGCAACAGUGGACCUCAUAACAUCACAAUCUGUUGCCAUGGAAAUGGCUGUGAUUUUGCAAAUUCAGUUUUAUGUCUUCACGGUGAUAUCAGAUAGAAGAAAAAAGAACUGGGCAAUAGGGAAAAAAAACUUGUUUGAAGACAAAAGGCCAAAUCGAUUCUAAAUUCAGGCCUCAAAUCUUGAACUUCAGUGGGAUGAUUCCUCAUACGCUCCAUGUAGUUGCCAUCUAAUGUUGGAGGUGUGUAUAUCCCAAAUGCCUGAAGUUCUGCCUGAAGUUCAGCCUCUGCAUUAUGGUGAAUCACAGACAUGACAAGCUAAGGAUUCCCAACAAAGUAAGCUGUCGAGGCCACCUGAAGAGGGAUAAUGAAAGUGAUUACAUCAGCAAAGAGGAAGGAACAAUCCAGAUGGCAGCAGCACCACAAAAUACAGAGAAACGAGAUUCAUUAUAUUCAUGCUAAAUUCAAAUAUCCAUCCUGUACAAGUUUGUGGAGAUUAAAGUUGGAGAGGAUGAAAUGCAUAUUUCCUGUAGGCAUUUUUGCACUACAAAAGAAGAAGGAGAAGAAACUAACAAACAACAAUUGUGAAAUAUCAGGUACCAUUAGAGAUGCAUCACUUGUGAACCAGGUUCACAGACAAAGCCGUUCUACCGGUGGGAUGAAAAAGCACAGUGAAAGAAAGGGCGUUGCAUCCUUCACCUGGGUAACAUCUCUGUUCUUUCUCUGCUUUGAAUAGAUUCUUUAAAGGCUUGGACAACUCUUGAUGGUAGACAUCCCAUUAGCUGGUGCCAGCUAAUGUUGCUGAUGGGAUGAGGGCAAGGACUGCUGCUGCCUUCUCCAUAGUAAUAUCCAUAUAGUAAUAGUAGUAGUGUUAUUUUCUACCCACCAUUUAAUUUGCCAGUUGAAUAGCAGCUACAUACUGCAAGAGGCUAAUCGGCUUAUUGUUUUGUCUGUUUCCUGUUUUAUUGCACUAACUUUUUGAAUAUUUUUUUAGAGGGAAGUUCCUGUGCCCGAGACUAUAACAUACUUGUAUACUGCCUGACCUCCUGUUUAGUUUUACGUAGAAAGGACUGAAGACAUGUUCUGGAAAGUAUCUUGAAGUGGAGUAAUGCAGGAAGAGAGUUGAUACAAGAAGGCUAUAAAAUGUAUGUUUUCUUUUGAGAGCAAAAAAUGCAUUAAGACAUAAACAUUUGCUGUGCAUGAGUGCCCAGCUCUCUGAUACAAUGCCACUUCAUUGAAGUGGUCCUCUCAGCCUGUGAGGAACUGUCGUUAGCCAGAGAGACAUAAAUUACUCCUUGCUUUGUGAACUACUAUAAUGAUCAAGCAUAGAGGUGUCCUAAUGUACUGAAAUGAGACAAUGACUGAAGAUGUUGAAAAGCACUUACUGAGAUUGUCACAGAAGCCUUGCAGCACAAGCUGGCUUCUUUGAAGUUUUCUCCAGCAGUGUUGGAAAACUUUUUUUUUUUUUUUCCUUAUGCUUUGCAGAUCAUUCCUGUGGGCUCAAACAUAGAGGUACCCCCAUUCGCAGUCUUACCCUGUAGGCUAAACUGGUUAGUCAUAAAUCCUAAAGAAAGUGAUUCACCAGCACUUUGAUUGGCCUCCAAUGGACAUUCUCUAAGCUUGUUGCUCUGGAAAUAUUGCUAACAGCAGGGCAAUUCUCCAACUAAUAUUUGAUUAAUAAAAAGAUCUUUGCUUAAUAGAAUGUGGAGGUU
Molecule: long non-coding RNA, 2144 nt
Organism: Anser brachyrhynchus (Pink-footed goose)
Lineage: Eukaryota; Metazoa; Chordata; Aves; Anseriformes; Anatidae
Source: Ensembl